Molecule: ribosomal RNA, 393 nt
Filed under: uncultured bacterium
Lineage: Bacteria
Description: bacterial SSU rRNA
Rfam family: Bacterial small subunit ribosomal RNA
Source: RNAcentral
UAAUACGGGGAUGGCGAGCGUUACUCGGAUUUACUGGGUGUAAAGGGCAGGUAGGCGGCUUUGUAAGUUGUAGGUGAAAUCCUCUGACUCAAUCAGAGAACAGCCUUCAAAACUGCAUUGCUUGAGGACAGAAGAGGAAAGGGGAAUUCCCGGUGUAAGGGUGAAAUCUGUAGAUAUCGGGAGGAACACCAGUGGCGUAAGCGCCUUUCUGGUCUGUCUCUGACGCUGAGCUGCGAAAGCUAGGGUAGCAAACAGGAUUAGAUACCCUGGUAGUCCUAGCCGUAAACGAUGAGCACUAGGUGUCGGUGGUUACCACCGGCGCCGUAAGCUAACGUGUUAAGUGCUCCACCUGAAGACUACGACCGCAAGGUUAAAACUUAAAUGAAUUGACGG